AAACCANCAGGGAUUGCCUCAGUAACGGCGAGUGAAGCGGCAACAGCUCAAAUUUGAAAUCUGGCCUCUGGCCCGAGUUGUAAUUUGUAGAGGAUGUNUCGGNCNUGGUCCGGUCUAAGUUCCUUGGAACAGGACGUCAUAGAGGGUGAGAAUCCCGUAUGUGACCGGGUGCCUAAGCUCAUGUGAAACUCCUUCAACGAGUCGAGUUGUUUGGGAAUGCAGCUCAAAAUGGGUGGUAAAUUUCAUCUAAAGCUAAAUACUGGCCAGAGACCGAUAGCNCACAAGUAGAGUGAUCGAAAGAUGAAAAGCACUUUGGAAAGAGAGUUAAACAGCACGUGAAAUUGUUGAAAGGGAAGCGUUAACAAUCAGACUUGCGCGCGGUUGAUCAUCCNGUGUUCUCACCGGUGCACUCGAUCGCGCUCAGGCCANCAUCAGUUCUGGUGGUUGGAUAAAGGCCGUGGGAAUGUGGCUCUUCNGAGUGUUAUAGCCCACGGUGCCAUACAGCCUACCGGGACUGAGGACCGCGCUUCCCCAAUGAAGCUGGCGUACUGGUUGUCAACAC
This 562-nucleotide ribosomal RNA is filed under the name Leotiomycetes sp. OTU15 TS-2013. RNAcentral describes it as "eukaryotic LSU rRNA". It matches the Rfam family "Eukaryotic large subunit ribosomal RNA", at positions 62 to 647 of the family's 3401-position model. Lineage: Eukaryota; Fungi; Ascomycota; Leotiomycetes. The record is from RNAcentral.